Molecule: long non-coding RNA, 502 nt
Organism: Pongo pygmaeus (Bornean orangutan)
Lineage: Eukaryota; Metazoa; Chordata; Mammalia; Primates; Hominidae
Exons: 3
Source: RefSeq, a predicted model, not a curated record
CUCCCAGCCAACCUUCACCUCGUUCCAUCAGCGAGUUGAGAAGGGAUGCGUUGGAGAAGAAGAACAAGUAGCCAAAAGUCUGAGACACGAGGUCAGGGUGCAGCUCGCACUGGCUGGUCAGCUCCAAGGCUGCCUGGAACACGCCCAGGGUCCAGUGGCUUUGUGCUUCCUCGCCUCCAAGAAUGAACUCGCUCACUGCUAUCCAAGCUCCAAGCCCAAUGGGCUGCGGUGAAUUCUCACACUGAUCUCUCUGAACUUCUCAUCCAAUGGGAUCUCUCCCCCACCAUCUCCCAUAACGAUUUCUUCCUACGUGGACUCCUUAGCCAUCUACUCUCCCUCUCCUGUGAAUCUCACCUGUGAAUCUCUACUCUGGAACCUUGAGGGACCACGCCCCAGUAGAGUACCUGAGGCUAGCGCGCCCCUGGGCCUUCUGGGAGUUGUAGUUGUGUUGCUCACCCACCAACAGGUAGGGUAUAGGGCUCUGGGCGUGCGGGGCUGGGGC